CGGGAGAGGGGUCGGAGCGACCACCUGCACGGGCCGCGGCUCGCCGCCGGUGGGUCGACUGGCCAGACCCACGUUUAACAAAAGCUCUUAAUUCCCACGCAGGAUAAAGUUCGAAUAAGGCUGCUGCUGCUGUUAAAGGAGCUGUUUGGGAUGGGAUUAUAGGCUACGCCUUCGUCAGCGUAAAUGAGAUGGUUCUGCGUUGUUUGGUGGGAUCUCAGCUCUGGUCUAAAUUACCGGUCUGUUCAUAGCUCACCUACCAAUUAGCAUCUGGAGUGUCUCAGCUGGGAAAGCUGGUGGAUCUGGGGCAGUCGCUGUCUAAAUUGCUGGGUUUGUUGUUCAUCGGCGUAUUAACAUGCCAUAGAGUCCUUGUCCCUUUGGCAGCAGUUGUCCCCGAAAAUUUGAAAAGGCUGCUGCGUUCACUUGCCGCAGCUCCCGUUUACGCUGUCGAGGCUUGGCGGCGGGUUCAACCCAGUAAUCAAAAAGUAGCAAUUCAGCUGCUACCUCCUUUACAUCAAAAGUCGCUUCUUCCUGAAUGCGCCCAGGAUUUCCGAUUCAAGCCUCAGUUUACAGUGCACGCAUCGGUCCUUGCGAGCACCGGCGCAGGUCUGUGAACCCGCUGGCCAGACGAACCCCACGAGGAAGCAGCAGCCCACCGCGUGGCCACGACACGCUUGUGUUGGCUCGGUUGUCGUGGUCUCAACUGGAUCAAUAAGAUCGCCUUGGUUCUCAUCGCACAACGGAGGAGUUCCUAUUUUUUUCAGGAGAUGGCAUCCGGCCGGCCAGGUCACUCGCAAGAAGAGCGCCGUACUUGUGCGUAGGCGGGCCGGGUCCUUUAAGUAUGUAUCUGUGCAUAGUCUCUCAUAGCCAAGGGCCUCGGGAGCAUUUGAAAAGCUGCGAUGCAAUCCCCGCCGGAGGACGGACAGGACCAAGAAGUUCAUUGCCCUACCUUCCCGGAGCUGGAGGCCUCUAGGAAAUAGGACCUAGCCGUCUUCAUUCCCUUCCCGACAGGUUCCCCGUCCGUCUGUAUAAUGCCAAGGUUACUGGGACGUUAUUUAGCACAUUAAAUAAAACCCCA
Molecule: long non-coding RNA, 1075 nt
Filed under: Crocodylus porosus (Australian saltwater crocodile)
Lineage: Eukaryota; Metazoa; Chordata; Crocodylia; Crocodylidae
Description: lncRNA (ENSCPRG00005017409.1)
Source: RNAcentral